GGCCGCGGAGCGGGCGGAGCGGGCCCCGGGGGCGGCGGGCGCCCCUCGCCCUCGCCCCGCCGCGGGGCCGGGCGGCCGCGGCCGCGGCGCCGCCGACACCUUACUUCCUGCUUCGCUACCCAGAGCCAGACCCAUCGCGGCGGAGGGAUCCCGUCGCCUCCAGCUGCCUCCUCCCCCUUCUGCUUCUGCUUUUUUUUUUUUUUUUUUUUCCUCCUCUCCUCGCUCUUUUGCGAGAAAAUAAUUUGACAGCGAUUUGCUGACAGCGGGAUUUCGUGCAUCACGGGCGAGGGAAGGGCGGCGCGGCCGGAGCCGCCGCGGGAGGCCGUGCCGGAGAUGGAAUUUUGUAACUGGCUGGAUUCUGAAUAGGGCAAGGAGAUGUGUCUGAUAAGAUACAUCACUUUGAGAUCACAGAAUGAGAACGGCAUGAAAUGUUAUGGCGAAGACAGCACGGCAAGAUACAACAGUCUCACAAGUAAUCAAAAAUCAGAUGCCUGGCACACUGAACCUAUUACUGUGUGUAAGAUUUGCGCUGUGGUCCAUUUUUUGAAGAUGUGAAGCAACGUUGAGUCUGAUUGGAAUUACUGACAGACUGGAGGAAAUCUUAGUCCUGUUGCACACGCACAUGCUGAAUUAUAAGUAAUCCUAGCUUCUCUUCCCGCCCCUCACUCCCUCACUCAGCUAUCUCAGGGUUCAUAGAGAUUUCAAUGGUUCGCGUGCCUGUAAGAU
RNAcentral lists this long non-coding RNA (726 nucleotides) under Phasianus colchicus (ring-necked pheasant). RNAcentral describes it as "lncRNA (ENSPCLG00000001440.1)". The record is from RNAcentral. Lineage: Eukaryota; Metazoa; Chordata; Aves; Galliformes; Phasianidae.